UGGCAUUGACUUUAUUCUCACAGCAAGCCCAUGAGGUAGUUGAAAAAACAUUAGGGUUCUUCACAAAUGUUUCUGGCCAGAAGUGAAUCCAGGCAUUGCAGGGCUUAAAGCAUAUCCAAUUUGGGGGAACUUCUUGAAGGAAAGGAAUACCAAUUUAUAAAUAUAAAUUAGUCACAGGGUCCCAUGAAAGAGAAGGGCUUGGAAGCAUUAGAACAAGUCUGUUAGUUGCAUGUUAAUGCUCCCUGCUCCUUAUGAAGUUAGGUGAGAGCAUGUGAAUUGCUUUGGCCAAUGGGAUAUGAAUGAAAUUGAUGUGUGUCACCUCUGGGUGGAGUCUGAAGAGUUGUGAGUGAUUCUCCACUUUCCUUCCCAACACUGACUCCCACGGUCCCUGGAUUGACAAUGGAAGAGUGUGCCAAGAUGGAACCUCCUUUGCCCUGGAACUCUGAGCCUGUGAUAUCUAGAGCAACCCCUCUCUUCACCCUGCCCUGUGUCAACCAGCAUGAGACAUGGAGUAAGCUUUCCUAUCGCCAUGCCCUGUGGGAUUGAGAAGGAUCUAGCUGAAUGCCAUUGAGCCAAAGAAAGAAGAGGCAGUCACCGAACAAACCUUCCUGGAAAUAGAGAUCUCCCUGUAUCCAAAGACGGCAAUUCCCUGAUAACUCCCCAAUGAGGCCAAGGCGACAGUUGCAGAUCUGUGUGUGCAAGCUUGGGGGUCAGAUCCUAGCUGCAGCACGCAGCAGCUGUGUGACUUCAGGGGAGCCCUGCACCUCCCUGAUUCUCAUUCACAGUGAUGAGUAGUAGCCCCUUCUCCCAGGGAUUUGGGAGGAUGUGCAGACUGUGCCUGCGAACUUGCCUGGCAUGUGAGACAGAGUCUUACUCUGUCACCCAGACUAGAGUAGAAUGGAACAAUCACGGCUCACUGCAGCAUAGAACCCCCAGGGAAUAAGGGAUCAUCCUGCCUUGAUACACUUUUGGAAUCCAUUGUGAUGGGGUUACCUGGACUUGUAGGGCAAGCCACAAACCCACUGGCUGUUCAUGAGCUCUAUCAAGUUACCACUUACUGUUUUUUCUAAAAAAGACUUGACUUUAGAGAGCACUUUUAGGUUCACAGCAAAAUUGAAAGGAAGGUACAGAGGUUUCCCAGACAUAACCCAACCUCCCAUAUAACCUUAUUGCUUUUAAAAGCCAUCUUUAAAAUUUUUCUUUUCUCUGACCCUUCAACCCUUGCCAUUUUGAGGUCUCGCCCCCAGAAGGGAUUAUUAAAUCUGGUGCAUGUUUUCUUGGCUUUCCUUCCCCCCGAUGUGAUGUGGGAGCCGUCACAAGCACCGGACAGGCAUCGAUGGGGGUCGUUGAACAUGAGUGGCUAUGGAAGGUAUUGGAAAGACCCUCAGAGGUGGAAGGUUUUGUAACACUCAGGUAUGCUGAGUCUCUGUUUUUAAAGGGUAGUCUUUUGGAAAAUGAGUAAAUAUGCAAACAAACUUGUGUUAAAUCUGGGCUUUAUUAUGUGCCGGACCACUAGACUGUGUGUGUGUGUGUGUGUGUGUGUGUGUGCGUGCGCGUGUGUGUGUGUGUUUGUGUGUGUGUCUGUGUGUGUGUUUAGCCCGCAUUAUCUCAGUUAGCCAGUCUAAUCUCAGUAGCAGUCACAGUAGGGAUUUCUACCCUUCCUCAUGGGGCUGCUGGCCAGGAGGUGUCCCUCCCUGUCCCAAAACUUGCAGGUGCCCGAGCCUCCCAGGUGCCCAGGUCAGCCACCAGCACUGCCUUUCCCCAGUGAGGAAACUGAGGCUCUGUCAGGUUAACUCUCACAGCAUCCAGGAUUCACUAUAGCAGUGACCAGCCCAGGUUAGUUCAGGUCUCCUGACUCUUGGCCCCUCUGAUAUCCCAUGGGGAGAAGUUGGUGAAGACAAGGUGAGGCAAUGUAUCCUGCCUGGGAGGGGGUCUCCUGGGGCAGCUGUCUCACACAUGCCCUCUGCCUCCUGCCCUCCGCCCACUGCCUUGAAGCAUGUGAACCCCCGUUCCCUAGCUCUGGGUGGCACAUUUUACAUGGAGCCCAGCCUCCUGGCCCUUGGCUUUCACAUAGCUUCACAGGUUCCUGGGAGGUCCAGGGCAGGAGAGAGAGCCCAGCGCCUGGUACUGGACAAGCCGGGACUUCUCAAUCUGUGUCUGCUCCCCCACAUCCUCUCUAUCUGCCCCCUUUCUACUGCCAGCAACAACCAGAAAGCUCCCUCUUGCCUGGAAGCAGAAAGAAGAUUCCUCUGUGUACCCACUCAGCCGGGUCAGUGGGAUCCCCUCAAUUAAAGAAGAAGUCUUGAAGCUCUAGAAGAAUAAAAAUAUCCACACCAGCCAUAUUGGACCUUGCUCAUCUAUGCCCCAGCUCCACAGAGCAAGGCCAGAUGCCUAUUGGUUUAGACUCCCAUAGGUGCAUGGGGUGGUGUUGCUGAGAGGGAAAAGAAGUAGGGAGAAGAGCAGAGCAGUUUCCAUAAGCAGAAUUUGGGCUAGGCUUAAGCCACCACACCAAGGGGAAGAUGGGCCUUGAGGUGCCAGACAUUCUUUUUCCCCGUAUAUUGAGUUGUUAAACCUUUCUGUACCAGUGAAAUCUGACACUCUGGACACCUCAUGAAAUUGUUACAUAAAACUACGGUGAUGGGUUCUGUGAAUUAAAAAAAAAAAAGUACCCGUUUUCUUAAUAAUA
Long non-coding RNA from Sapajus apella (tufted capuchin), 2686 nucleotides. RefSeq lists it as uncharacterized. NCBI's taxonomy places the organism in Eukaryota, Metazoa, Chordata, Mammalia, Primates, Cebidae. The transcript has 7 exons. The record is from RefSeq and is a predicted model, not a curated record.